RNAcentral lists this long non-coding RNA (218 nucleotides) under Lathyrus oleraceus (garden pea). RNAcentral's name for it is "Pisum sativum (pea) long non-coding RNA (PSAT_LNC009570)". Lineage: Eukaryota; Viridiplantae; Streptophyta; Magnoliopsida; Fabales; Fabaceae. The record is from RNAcentral.
UUUUUGUGGUGUUCUCGGAGCGCAAAUUUUCGGUCUGUCUUUGGUAUUCAAUCACAGCUCACCCCGUUUGUCUGAUAAGCUGUUCGCUUUCAUCCUACUCGGUUUAGUUGAUGAUUGAAUAGGGGCAGCUGUAACACCCCAAAAUUUGCCCUCCUCAUUCAUGCAUUCAUUUAGCAUUUCAUAUUGCAUUUCAUCAUGUCAAUCAGAAUUAGAUCCGA